Molecule: long non-coding RNA, 4169 nt
Organism: Prionailurus viverrinus (fishing cat)
Lineage: Eukaryota; Metazoa; Chordata; Mammalia; Carnivora; Felidae
Exons: 3
Source: RefSeq, a predicted model, not a curated record
AGUGAGACCAGCACCCGGAAGAGGCAGAGAGGGAGACGAUCGGGGGGGGGGGGGUGGUCAGGGAAGGAGAGGCCCCGUGAUCGGCAGAGACCUCGGAGGCAUUCGGAGACACGGAGACGAGAAUGCCAACAUCGUGAGCCUUGCUUACCCAUCUUGACUUGGAGUCAACCAGAAUCCUGACUUGAGUUGCAGACGAUUGGUAAGAUGAAAUUUAGGCUAACCUUUCCCAACCACGGACUUGAAAUGUUACUGUUUUAUCACUCCAGGAGUAGGGAUUAAAACUUCAUGCCGGAGAAAAUGGAAUAAACAUGGGAUUCAAGUCCAUAUCCAUUUGUCUUAUUCUCAACAGACCAAAGAAGGCUUUCUAACUACCCCCCCCCUUUUUUUUGACGUGCAGUCUCAACCAUCCAGAUGUGGGAGAUGGGCCCAAUAUAUCAUUAUUUAAACUCAUCUGGGUGUUCUAAGUCCACAGAUGUGUCUAAUUUGGAAGCUAUUGAUUUAAGUUUUCUCUUUAAGAAAACAAAUCUCAUCUUGAAACUCUUUAAGCCUGGAGAAAAAAAAAAUUCAGAGGGAAAAGGACAUUCUCUUGAACUAAGUUCAACUAAGAUUAAUCAUCUAAAGGAAAACAUGUUUUACUUCGGCCCAAGUAGAGUCUAGUCAUGUGACUCAUAGUUUAAAUACAUCCAGAGCUCCUGUGUUCACCUCCCAGGGCAACUGAUGUCUCUCUGACUUCUCUUGAUUCCAAUCUGGUUUCCCCAGACUUGUCUAGCUCGCUUGGCUUCGGUAACAGUCACGCCAAAGCCUGUGUUCUUUCCACCUGAGAAUCCAUUUAAAAUCGGCUACAUUUGGAGAGCUGGCUUCUAUCAAAUAUGCUAAAAACCCAGAUCGAUUUUUUUUUAGAAGUUUCCCGUAAUAAGCAAACAACCUAAGCUUUCCCACAUGACUAACACCUCCUAAGAUCAUCUCUAGAAAGAAACAAGAAUCUCUUUGUCCCAAGGGGUUGGCAAAAUCCCGGGAAUGUUGGGACAUUGGGAAUGGGGUCUAAUCCUUCCUUAGGAAGCAUGGCGGCCACACCUCUUCACCUAAAGGCUCUUUAUGCAGUGGUGGUGGCUGGUGAGGGGGGUGGAAGACGAGGCCCCGCUUGGGAGUCUCUGCUUAACUCUUGGGGAACAAUAACUCCCUUGCAGCGAGCAAAUGAAACUUUGGGAGAGAACUGUAGUUGCUGAUACCUGCAGCAGGAGACGUGGCCCGACUGAUGUUUUCCUUGGCCACAGAACUAACCGGGCAUCUGGAGAUGAAGCCGGUCCUCUUCUCACCACAGCCCAAGGACCACCCCCCCUUUUAAAGCCCAAAUCAAGCGCCCUGCUUCAAGGACUCUCCAGAUCUCCUCUCCCUGCUCGGGAGGGAGCAGGGACCUCCACAAUCGUCCACCAUUCCCGAUGCAUCACCAGCGGUUAUGUAGGAACGAUACACCGUGUAGGGUCUGGUUAUUAGGAAUAUACAGGAAGUAUUUAUGGUCAGACAAAAAAUGAUGCAGCAUUUGAAACACAGGCCAGCCAUGUUUCUAUUUUCAAUGCUUAGUAACUUGAGAGAGCCACGAUGCUAUCAAUUAUUGCUGAUUCGUUUGGAGGGCAGUAUCUCAUAUAAUUGCUAUUGUCUUCUUGCAAAGCGUCCAAGCUUUUGCAUUUGGUCUCAUGGUUUCACCAGUGAGAGGGGUGGAGAGAAAGGAAGAGGCAACACUAUUCAUUAAGGCUAAUUAAUGAGUUACAGAACUCUCUUGCAGUGCUGACUCAGAAAUCUUGGGGCACCUGAGUGGCUCGGUCAGGCGUCUGACUUUGGCUCAGGUCGUGAUCUCACGGUUCGUGGGUUCGAGCCCUGCGUCGGGCUCUGUGCCGACAGCUCGGAGCCUGGAGCCUGCGUGGGGUUCUGUGUCUCCCUCUCUAUCUGUCCCUCCCCCGCUUACAUUCUGUCUUUCUCUCUCUCUUCCAACAACACAUAAAACAUUUUUUUUUAAAAAGAAAUCUUAAGUCCUCAGAGUUGGCAUGCAUACAUCACGAUAGAUUCUAUAACAUUGUAAAAAGUUGUGAUCAUAUGCGGUAAAACUUGGGUGACUCCUACCCCUCUUAAAAGGUGCAAAAGCAGGGUUUAAGAUGCAGGCUUUCGGGGCGCCCGGGUGGCUCAGUCGGUUAAGCGUCCGACUUCGGCUCAGGUCAUGAUCUCCCAGUUCGUGAGUUCGAGCCCCGCGUCGGGCUCUGUGCUGACAGCUCAGAACCUGGAGCCUGCUUCACAUUCUGUGUCUCUGUCUCUGCCCUUCCCCUGCUCGUGCUGUGUCUCUGUCUCAAAUAAACAUUAAAAAAAAAAAAUUUAAAAAAAAAGGUGCGGGCUUUCCAUUGGGUGACCUGUUCUCAUUGCUUAAAGAGAGAUCUAUGGACUUCUGGUUCAAAAUGGCAGGUCGGGCACCUUUUGCUUAUUACUUGAGACCUCCCCCCUGCAAUCAAGAUAUUGAAGUGAAAAAGAAAAAAGGGCGGGGAAGGAAUUGUAAAGGGAGAGAAAAUCACAGAGAACAUCUCAGCACCUUUCUCGAAGAUGGAAAGCUGACCGUAGAGAGUUUCCGGAUGGAACAGGAAGAGAAAUUACAGCCUACGGAAGGAAACGGGAGUCAGUGUCUGACAGUGAGGCCCUGGGACUCUGUCAGCAGAUGUGAACGCAGCUGGGAGCGAGAAGUAAGGGGACGAGCCAGAAGACUGGUGGAAGGUCUUCGUGUGGACAAGGCAUCGUCCUCCGGCCUCACCCAGUUCACGCGUAAGGAAAAACGGAUCGGGUCCCUGGCGUAGAGCUCUGCCGCCGUGUAAGAAACACUCUCUUCCCGUGAGGGUAACGUUCAAGAUGGCGGCAGCUCUGUCCCAGGGGUCCUGUCACUGAACAGAUCCCCUGGCUAACGUGUGAUGGACAUGGAGCCUAGGUAAGAAACUAAAUAUUUGCUGUUAAAAGCCAGUUGUCCUUGGGGGGCGUUUCUCACUGUGGCAUAACCCAGCCUCGCUGCGCUCCAUGGCGAAGAAGCUUACACUUGAUUCUGUGAACUACAUGUGGGGCUCUGGAGGGGAGUGUAGUCAGGCUUGCAGUUUCCAAAGACCACUCUACUCUAUCUCACUGGGGUUGUUAAACAUAAAUAAGUUUAAUAACAGGGCUUAAAUAUAUUCUCAUGUAUAUUCUUCGAUAUAUUCUUAGAAACUACGAUUUUUUUUUUAACUUUGAUCUUACUUUUCUUUGGGUAAACGUUACUUUAAUGGUAGUUGUGAUGGUUGGCUCUAUGUGUCAACUUCACGGAGCUAAGGGAUGCCCAAACAGCUGGUGAAACAUCAUUUCUGGGAGCGUCUGGGAGAGCGUUUCCAGAAGACAUUAGCAUUUGAAUCGGCAGAUCAGGUAAAGAGACAUCUUCACCUGUGUGGCCGAAGGUUCUGAUCAGAACAGAAAGGAGGAAGGGUGAGUUCUCACUCUCAGCUUAGGGACCCCAUCUUCUCCUGUCCUUGGACAUUGGCGCUCUCCGCUCUCAAGCCUUUCGGACUCGGACUGAGUUGUGCCACCAGCUUUCCGGGAUCUCCAGCUUGCAGACGAGAGAGGGUGGGCCUUCUCAACCUCUACCAUCAUGUAAGCAACUCCUGUAAUAAGCCUCCUCUUACAUAUACGUCACUCUGUAUAUCCUAUGGGUUCUGUUUCUCCGGAGAACCCUGGCUAAUACAGGAAGCCGCGAAAAAUCUCCGGAGUGAUACAAAAAGCAGAUUUAUUGUCCUACAUUGAUUAAAAGUCAACACUUCCAGUCGGGCCCCAUGGGGCUUUCUCAGCCACGCUGCCGGCCCCAAGGUUCUGCAUAGUUUUGUGCCCUCCCAACCCUGCAGUGGAUCAACACAGCCCGCAGGCUCCCUUCUGGGCAAACAGACCUGGAAGAUAGUGGGGGGCUGGGCAAGGAAGGGGUCAGCGACAGCAGGAAGUGAGCUCUGCCCUGGCUAGAGGCCAGCCGUCCUUCUGGAUCAGAAGCCGCCAUUCAAGACACUUCUCUAAAGAAGACAUCCGGAUGGCCCACAGGCACAUGAGAAGAUGCUCAACGUCGCUCCUCAUCAGGGAAAUACAAAUCAAAACCACACUCAGGUAUCACCUCACGCCGAUCAGAG